RNAcentral lists this non-coding RNA (107 nucleotides) under Deltaproteobacteria bacterium. RNAcentral's name for it is "TPP sequence". It matches the Rfam family "TPP riboswitch aptamer (THI element)". Rfam says of the family: Vitamin B(1) in its active form thiamin pyrophosphate (TPP) is an essential coenzyme that is synthesised by coupling of pyrimidine and thiazole moieties in bacteria. The record is from RNAcentral. Lineage: Bacteria; Pseudomonadati; Myxococcota; Myxococcia.
AAAUUACGCUAGGGGAGUCCGGACAGGGCUGAGAGUUCCCGCUUGAGGGAAGACCCUAACGACCUGAUCUGGUUAAUACCAGCGUAGGGAAGCGGCUGACAACAAGA